ACGGACGUAAUUUUUGAACGAUUCCGAUAAACAAGAUCUCAUUUUAAAGGUAAAAGUUUAUUUAAGUUAAAGCACUUUUCUUUUUCGAAUCUUUCGAAAAGUUUUUACUCUCAUUGAAAAUAGUUUACGUGUGAAAACAAAGCUUUUUUAAAAAUUCGAGAAAUCCGUGUCUCUUUUUUCGAAAACAAAACCUCGUCCAUUAAAAUCCUUUAAAAAUUACGUUUGGAAUUACAUUGUUGGCGUAAACAUUGUUUUUUAACGUUCUUUAAUUUUUUGUGAACAAAAAGUUUCGUACCGUGGUGCUCAAUAAAUUUUUCGGCAAAAGAGAAGCAGCAUCUAACCUUAAUACUAAUUGUCCUGUAAAUGCUGAAUGGUAUCAAUGCAACCACACGCGGAUGGAUACUUAGGCGGAUGCAAAGAUUUGGUGUUCGUGGAUCGAGGUGUAGGUUAAAAAUGAUCGUAUCGAAGAUAGCUAUCAAAGAAAGAGAGAAAGAAAGAGAGAAUGUGUGAGGAAAGCAAAAAGAAGAAAAAGAAGAAGAAGAAGAAGAAGGUAAAGGUGUCCUCCGGGGUUCAACGAUAAUCUCCAUGACCUACGACACGUUCCGAAUUUUUGAUCGUUUCAGGAUGAAACGAGCGAGACGUUCGGCCCUGUUGGAAUAUAUUUUUCUUACUUUCGAGGUUCAGGGUCGAUGCAGACGUUUGCGUUCAAGGUAACAGCAAAGUUUCUAAUGUUUUCCACAAAUGUUUUCACACUCCACUCCUUUACCCCCUCCAUGGUAGAACGGAGAAACAAGUUGCAUCCGUGCUGCGUUAACUCUCCCUCUCCCUUCGGUCCUCUCCCCCUCCUCCCCACGCCAUGGUUUCCUCCUACCCUAGAAUAGAAUCGAGAAAGGGGCGCCUAAAUUAUGCGCGCAAACGUUCAGGUAGUAAAAGUGUUUCCUACGUGCCCGUAGAAGUGAACCGUUGACGUUAGUUUUCUUACCGAGUUUCAACCCCUCUUAACUAUAGAGAGAGAGAGAGAGAAAGAGAAAAUGAAAUAUCUACCGGACUACCUGUCCGAUCCUAAACAAAUAUUUCGUAGAAUUAUUCGAACCAAUUUGAGUAAAUGAAGCCAAAAACUUAUUUCAAAAAUUGGGUAUCGCGAAGCGUCACCGGAGAUCAGAGAUGCGGGUGACGCACUUUCGCUUUCUAAAACCGAUGCGGGGAUAAUACGUCUUCGUUCGGGGUAUUUUUCUUUUUUUUUCUUUCUUUUUUACUUUUUAUUCUUCAUAGAGAAAGUUUAUGAGUACGUUUAUACGAGGUUUUGAGAAAGUUAUCGAAAUAGUCUGUACGUCGGAAAUGUUCGUUCAAAAAUCGAUGAGAGAUUUAUGAAAUGUACGAUACUUUAACGUAGCAUUAGAAAAGUGAAAUAAAGAUUAUUAGGGAGAGUACUUAACGUUUAGCAGUGUAUAGCGACCGGCCAUUAAAACCUCGCGUCCUUUGCCGUGAACGAACCAUGUUCUAGGGGAUUGGCUUUGAACGAUUAUUCCUGCUUUAUCUCGUUGCGCAUGUACGCGCGCGCGUGCGCAACGUCGAAAACGUUAUCGUUUAAGUUCUGUUUUAUAUCUUGGACGAGUAAAGCGUCGAAUGCUCGUAGAGCGUCACUAGCAUUUUAAGUAGUGCCAUUCAUAAUCCGUCAGCUUUGGCCCGAUACAUAUGUAAAGACGAUUCUAUUAUUGCUUCUUAUUUAUGAUUUCCUUCUAUUCGAAUGGCAGUUAUGGCAACGCGCCACGCGGCCAACUGUAACGAACGCGAAUUUAUGUCCCCGUGUCUUUUCUCUAUCGGUAGCUCAUACGUCACGUGAUACAACGAAAGAAAAAUGCGACCGAGGAGAACUACUUGCUUCUGUUCGUUUUCUUUACCCUUAUCCUCUCUCUCUCUCUCUCUCUCUCUUUCUCUCUUUCGCUCCCUUUUAAUAAAGUUUGCAAAUCUGUUCGAUCCUCAUCUCGUGCGGCAUGCUUUUCACGCGUAGUUUGCACGAAGGAGGAAAGCCAGGAGGAGAGCCUCGUGACCCACUAACGUUAACGCCAACUGUUGCAUUUCAAGAAGGAAGAACGACGCUUCUAGCGUCUCUCUUCGAAUAGUCCUUCCGACCAAGACGACCAAGUGGCAAAAAAAAAAAAAAGACGAGAGAGAAAAGAAAGAAGAAAUAAAGAAACAGAAAAAAAUACGAAAACAAAUUUCUCUCUCGCAAUAAAAAAAAAAAAAAAAAAAAGAGAGA
Vespula vulgaris is the source of this 2260-nucleotide long non-coding RNA. RefSeq lists it as uncharacterized. The record is from RefSeq and is a predicted model, not a curated record. The transcript has 3 exons. Lineage: Eukaryota; Metazoa; Arthropoda; Insecta; Hymenoptera; Vespidae.